GGUUGUAGCUCAGUGGAAGAGCGCUUGCCUAGCACGCAUGAGGCAUUGAGUUGGAUCCUAAGCACCA
RNAcentral lists this transfer RNA (67 nucleotides) under Marmota monax (woodchuck). RNAcentral's name for it is "tRNA.Ala". Lineage: Eukaryota; Metazoa; Chordata; Mammalia; Rodentia; Sciuridae. The record is from RNAcentral.